RNAcentral lists this ribosomal RNA (301 nucleotides) under uncultured bacterium. RNAcentral's name for it is "partial 16S ribosomal RNA". It matches the Rfam family "Bacterial small subunit ribosomal RNA", at positions 509 to 808 of the family's 1533-position model. The record is from RNAcentral.
CAGCCGCCGCGGGAAUACGUAGGGGGCAAGCGUUAUCCGGAAUAACUGGGCGUAAAGGGUGCGCAGGUGGUUUAACAAGUUAGUGGUGAAAGGCAUAGGCUCAACCAAUGUAAGCCAUUAAAACUGUUUAACUUGAGUGCAGGAGAGGAAAGUGGAAUUCCUAGUGUAGCGGUGAAAUGCGUAGAUAUUAGGAGGAAUACCAGUGGCGAAGGCGACUUUCUGGACUGCAACUGACACUGAGGCGCGAAAGCGUGGGGAGCAAACAGGAUUAGAUACCCCUGUAGUCCCUGUCUCUUAUACA